Molecule: ribosomal RNA, 164 nt
Filed under: uncultured bacterium
Lineage: Bacteria
Description: partial 16S ribosomal RNA
Rfam family: Bacterial small subunit ribosomal RNA
Source: RNAcentral
UAGGGAAUCUUCCACAAUGGACGAAAGUCUGUUGGAGCAACGCCGCGUGAGUGAAGAAGGGUUUCGGCUCGUAAAACUCUGUUGUUAAAGAAGAACAUAUCUGAGAGUAACUGUUCAGGUAUUGACGGUAUUUAACCAGAAAGCCACGGCUAACUACGUGCCUG